GAUGAAGAACGUAGCAAAAUGCGAUACUUGGUGUGAAUUGCAGAAUCCCGUGAACCAUCGAGUUUUUGAACGCAAGUUGCGCCCGAAGCCUUUUGGCCGAGGGCACGUCUGCCUGGGCGUCACGCAUCGCGUCGCCCCCCCACAAUUCUCCGUAAAGGGAACUUGUGUUUUGGGGGCGGAUAUUGGUCUCCCGUGCUCAUGGCGUGGUUGGCCGAAAUAGGAGUCCUUUCGAUGGACGCACGAACUAGUGGUGGUCGGAAAAACCCUCGUCUUUUGUUUCGUGCUGUUGCUCGCAAGGUAAACUCUUUAAAAACCCCAAUGUGUCGUCUCUUGACGACGCUUCGACCGCGACCCCAGGUCAGGCGGGACUACCCGCUGAGUUUAAGCAUAUCAAUAAGCGGAGGA
This 405-nucleotide unclassified non-coding RNA is filed under the name soil metagenome. RNAcentral describes it as "partial contains 5.8S ribosomal RNA, internal transcribed spacer 2, and large subunit ribosomal RNA". The stretch from base 1 to 122 matches the Rfam family "5.8S ribosomal RNA", at positions 35 to 154 of the family's 154-position model. The record is from RNAcentral.